This 240-nucleotide ribosomal RNA is filed under the name Triticum aestivum (bread wheat). Its description in RNAcentral is "partial small subunit ribosomal RNA". Lineage: Eukaryota; Viridiplantae; Streptophyta; Magnoliopsida; Poales; Poaceae. The record is from RNAcentral.
AUGAGAGGCCUCAUUUGGAACUGUAGAGGGGCAGGCAAGAAAGGGAUGGCCACCGCCUGCCUCUCUGACCUGAUUAGUGACCAUUCCUUAGACUUUGGAGACUAUGAAAAAAAGUUUUCCCCUAAAUGCAUUAGGAGGAUUGAUCCUUUUGGUCUGUUUCAUUGGGAAUGGAUCCCAUCUGCUGGGAAAUCUGGGGGUAUCCUGAGUGGUGUGAGACAUGAUACUUUUGAUGUUAUUUCC